This 26-nucleotide non-coding RNA is filed under the name Cricetulus griseus (Chinese hamster). Lineage: Eukaryota; Metazoa; Chordata; Mammalia; Rodentia; Cricetidae. The record is from RNAcentral.
CUGAGCUAACAGAUGAGAAUCCUAGA